UACGUAGGGUGCAAGCGUUGUCCGGAAUUAUUGGGCGUAAAGAGCUCGUAGGCGGUCUGUCGCGUCGGCUGUGAAAACCCGAGGCUCAACUUCGGGCUUGCAUUCGAUACGGGCAGGCUCGAGUUCGGUAGGAGAGUGGAAUUCCUGGUGUAGCGGUGAAAUGCGCAGAUAUCAGGAAGAACACCCGUGGCGAAGGCGGCUCUCUGGUACGUGACUGACGCUGAGACGCGAAAGCGUGGGGAGCAAACAGG
RNAcentral lists this ribosomal RNA (251 nucleotides) under uncultured bacterium. Its description in RNAcentral is "partial 16S ribosomal RNA". It matches the Rfam family "Bacterial small subunit ribosomal RNA", at positions 524 to 776 of the family's 1533-position model. The record is from RNAcentral.